CUACGGGGGGCUGCAGUGGGGAAUAUUGGACAAUGGGGGAAACCCUGAUCCAGCAAUGCCGCGUGUGUGAAGAAGGUCUGCGGGUUGUAAAGCACUUUCGGUUGGGAGGACUGCUUCUAGCACUAAUAUUGUUGGAAGUUGACGUUACCCUCAGAAGAAGCACCGGCUAACUCCGUGCCAGCAGCCGCGGUAAUACGGGGGGUGCAAGCGUUAAUCGGAAUUACUGGGCGUAAAGCGCGCGUAGGCGGCUAGAUCAGUCGGGUGUGAAAGCCCCGGGCUUAACCUGGGAACUGCAUCCGAUACUGUCUAGCUUGAGUACAGGAGAGGAGAGUGGAAUUCCACAUGUAGCGGUGAAAUGCGUAGAUAUGUGGAGGAACACCAAUGGCGAAGGCAGCUCUCUGGCCUGAUACUGACGCUGAGGUGCGAAAGCGUGGGGAGCAAACAGGAUUAGAUACCCGGGUAGUC
Molecule: ribosomal RNA, 465 nt
Filed under: uncultured bacterium
Lineage: Bacteria
Description: partial 16S ribosomal RNA
Rfam family: Bacterial small subunit ribosomal RNA
Source: RNAcentral